RNAcentral lists this small nuclear RNA (18 nucleotides) under Arabidopsis thaliana (thale cress). RNAcentral's name for it is "snRNA_19186". The record is from RNAcentral. Lineage: Eukaryota; Viridiplantae; Streptophyta; Magnoliopsida; Brassicales; Brassicaceae.
UGGUGCCAAGAAAGUUUA